Long non-coding RNA from Hyposmocoma kahamanoa, 684 nucleotides. RefSeq lists it as uncharacterized. The record is from RefSeq and is a predicted model, not a curated record. NCBI's taxonomy places the organism in Eukaryota, Metazoa, Arthropoda, Insecta, Lepidoptera, Cosmopterigidae. The transcript has 3 exons.
GCUCCGGCGCCUUGUCGUCGCGCACGCGCACGAACCUGCAAAUAAACGCACUGCGGAUUUCAAGAGUCAGGGCGCGGACUCCUCGCUAUUACUCCAAGUUGCCGUGUGCCGAGGCUUUGUGACCGGAUCUCUAUGCUACAUUCCCACGUUAACAGCGCGCCUGUCAUAGAAGAAUGCAAAUGUUAUGCUUGCGGACGACACAUGCCUUACGAGCGCUGGCAGGUAGCCGGCGCAGCACGUCAGGGUACUUGGAGGUGUUGUCCUCCUGGUUGCGGCUGAACACCCUCGCGUUGGCGAAGUCGGGUGAGGUGCCGUCGGUGGAGGAAGGCACGUGGAUCUGCGCUCGCUCGCCGUCGUACUUCCACUCGCACGUGAACUUUUCGUUCUCGAAUCUAUGUCGCAUGGAGUGCGCAAAGGUGCAUUUGCAUGAAGUGAUGUGUGGUGUUGGACGAAAAAGUCAUGGCCGCAUAGUGUCAAACCACGGACAGGCAUUGCGAAUGCAGCCGAACCAAGAGACAAGGAGUUGAUUGCGAUUCACACCUAGAUUACUCUACUAAAGCACAAAACAAAAACGAAUACAAUUUUUACUGAACGUGUUCUGUGUAAGCCAAAAAGUAAUCAUCAUCUUGAUAUUCGACAGGAAAUAUUUCAUAUUUAUUUAUUAUUAGUAUGGUUAAGCUCAUC